Long non-coding RNA from Esox lucius (northern pike), 1576 nucleotides. NCBI's taxonomy places the organism in Eukaryota, Metazoa, Chordata, Actinopteri, Esociformes, Esocidae. The record is from Ensembl.
AGACCCAUCUCCACAUAGACCCAGUGUAAUCAUUUCUAGGUAGAGACCCAUCUCCACAUAGACCCAGUGUAAUCAUUUCUAGGUAGAGACCCAUCUCCACAUAGACCCAGUGUAAUCAUUUCUAGGUAGAGACCCAUCUCCACAUAGACCCAGUGUAAUCAUUUCUAGGUAGAGACCCAUCUCCGCAUAGACCCCCACCACUGCGACUGUUCAGCCAUUCUGUUUACUUGAUUUAUUACAUGGGCAUGUUCAGGGCUACAACAUAAUAGAGCACCCUCUGUGUCUAAGGAGAGGUUUGAGAGCUGGGCUAGAACGAGCCGGCCUGGCUGCUCCUCUGUUUCUGCUCAUGUUUUCCAGGUCUGUGCUGUCAUGGUGUAGAAUGAGAACCAGUGACAAUGCUGUGGAUGAACAGUGGUUGGAGCAAUGUUGUUGCCACAUUAUUUCAAUAGAAAAAUGUAAUAUGACGACAUUGAAUCCAUUUAAAAAAUGUUGGAUUAGCUAUCAAUGUAUUCUGUUUUGUUUCUUUCCCCUAAUUUUUCACCUGAAUCCAGUGACAUGGUCAGUUUGUUUCUUGAUUUUAAGUUGAAUUCCUGUAUGUUCACACAACCACAUUUUGUUGGAAGGUGUUGACAGUACCAACAAAACAGAUCAUUAGCAAUCUAGAAUCUAGGAACAGUCUAGAAUCUCGGAACAGUCUAGAAUCUCGGAACAGUCUAGAAUCUAGGAACAGUCUACAUUCUGAUUGUUUUAGAUGGUGCUUGGUGUAUCAGGCUGGUUCUGCUCUAGUACAAACUGCCUGCCAUGGAGUUGGCAAGCACACAAACAGACCUGAAACCCAGGCCUUUUCUGGUAUUUAUAAAAUCCUUUAUUGUCACAGAUUCACUGUUGCGGCUAAAUUAAAGUUCCAGGCUGCAAGAUAUUCAGAUGCAUGAUGUGAAUAAAAUAUGUGCCCUGUAGAGUCCUGCUAUAGAAUGUGCAGAUCACUGCUUAUUUUGUUGCUGCUUUUCAUAGAAUGUCUGUAGACCACAAGCGGCUUCAAUUAACAGCAUGGGUUUUCAUUUUCUUCCUGUGCUUUUAACGUUGAGGUUCUCGUUGGCCUUAUGCUCGGUUUGUUGUGCUGGAGCUAGAGGGACAGUUAGAGGACAUAACUGGGAGAAAAUGCAUUUACACAUGGACAUUGCCACUGAAUACCAUUUACCUUGGAAACUUAAUUUAGUUAGUUGAUCUCUUCUAUGACCGGGGUUGAUCAUGUGAUCACAACUCCAAUCAGCUCAUCAGGAGAGAUAAACCAAUUAAUAAUAUAGAAAUAAACUAACUUGAAAUGGCCAUAACCCAUUUUGGAACAGAUGCUAUAAUUUAACGGAUACAUACAUACAUUCCAUCUCUGUGGCACGGAUUCACUUAUGCAGUCAUUCCACCUCUAUGGCACAGAUACACUUAAGAUCUGUCUGUCCACCUCUAUGGCUGAAACCUUCUAGAGUCUGUGACUGGGAGUGGCAGACAGUUAGUUAAUAGGCUGGUGGGGGGUGUCAUUCUCUCCCCAAUAACCAACUGUCCUCAAGACAUUUAAAAAAAU